CCGCUAGAGUUAAUUCCAUCAGAGAAGGAGGAGAAGAGGAAAGAAGAAGAAAAAAGGGGAAGAAAGAAAAAGGAAGGAAAAAUAGAAAAAAAAACCAUUGGACUUGUUUCAUUAUUUUCGGUUGGGCUUUUGUCUUUAUAGGUUUUUUACCUGAGUUUGGAAUGGUUAAAUCCAAUACAUUUGUUAGAUGAUUAUACGGGUUUUUAG
RNAcentral lists this long non-coding RNA (207 nucleotides) under Coffea arabica (coffee). RNAcentral's name for it is "long non-coding RNA (CARA_LNC007454)". Lineage: Eukaryota; Viridiplantae; Streptophyta; Magnoliopsida; Gentianales; Rubiaceae. The record is from RNAcentral.